ACAGCAGUGUGGAUCUUCACAUGUAUGAUGCUCAGUGGGACACCUGGCAGUUUCCUGAGUAUUCGCUAGGUUCUAUGUCACUGAUUACCUCAUGGAAAUAGUAGAAAGAACCUGCCUUGGUUUUGGCCAAGCGGGGUCUUAGUUUCCUUGUCUGUGAAGUGGAAAUAAGAAUGCUUAGCCUUCUGGGUUACUGCGAGGUGUCCAUCAAGAGUUAGGUGUUGCAGAGUCUGAGGCAAGGCAGGUGCCCAGCAGGCAAGCCUUCUCUUCUCCCAGUCUGCCAGAGCUGACUUAGUGUAUGUGGCCCGUUUCAGCAAGAGCCCUGGCAGGUGCUGCGGGGCUGCAAUGACAGCUAAAAAUCCCCUCCAGAGAGAGCCAUGAUGAUAUCAAUUCUGCUGCCAGAGGCCAAGAUGACUGCUCAAGGCCCGUACCUCAAGAACGACCAAGUGAAGAUGGGCACCUGGUCUCUAAGACACCCCCCCCCCAAGGAGCACCAUUCUACAUCCAUCAUGGUGUUGGAGGAGGUCACUGAGAGGACAUGACCACUGGCUAACCCACGAGUUAGACUAGGCGAUGGAAGGUCCUAGUCCCUCCUUCCCUGUCCUUGAAAUGUACACUCUGCCCAUGUCCCCACAGUGGGAGCCACUUUCAAGGACACAGUCUUGAGAGAGCAAUGUGUUGUUGAGACUAUCUGGAUGGUAGACAACAACGAAACCCUGUCAAGGACACUAGAUAAACUUGUAAGAGUCUCAUAGAGAUCUAUGUAUCUACAGUACCCAAGACAAGCCUCAUACACAGGUUCCCUUAUUAAACCUACCACCUAACCUG
This is a long non-coding RNA of Hyaena hyaena (striped hyena), 825 nucleotides long. RefSeq lists it as uncharacterized. The record is from RefSeq and is a predicted model, not a curated record. NCBI's taxonomy places the organism in Eukaryota, Metazoa, Chordata, Mammalia, Carnivora, Hyaenidae. The transcript has 2 exons.